RNAcentral lists this ribosomal RNA (406 nucleotides) under uncultured bacterium. RNAcentral describes it as "partial 16S ribosomal RNA". It matches the Rfam family "Bacterial small subunit ribosomal RNA", at positions 30 to 526 of the family's 1533-position model. The record is from RNAcentral.
AUUGAACGCUGGCGGCAGGCUUAACACAUGCAAGUCGAACGAGUGGCGGACGGGUGAGUAAUGUCUGGGAAACUGCCUGAUGGAGGGGGAUAACUACUGGAAACGGUAGCUAAUACCGCAUACCAUCGGAUGUGCCCAGAUGGGAUUAGCUAGUAGGUGGGGUAACGGCUCACCUAGGCGACGAUCCCUAGCUGGUCUGAGAGGAUGACCAGCCACCCGUGAGCUGAGACACGGGCCAGACUCCUCCGGGAGGGAGCAGUGGGGAAUAUUGCACAAUGGGGGCAAGCCUGAUGCAGCCAUGCCGAGUGUAUGAAGAAGGCCUUCGGGUUGUAAAGUACUUUCAGCGGGGAGGCGGUACCCGCAGAAGAAGCACCGGCUAACUCCGUGCCAGCAGCCGCGGUAAUUC